GACGAACGCUGGCGGCGUGCUUAACACAUGCAAGUCGAGCGGUAAGGCCCCUUCGGGGGUACACGAGCGGCGAACGGGUGAGUAACACGUGGGUGACCUGCCCUCAGCCCUGGGAUAAGCCUGGGAAACUGGGUCUAAUACCGGAUAUGACUCCAUGACGCAUGUCGUGGGGUGGAAAGCCUUGUGCGGCUGGGGGAUGGGCCCGCGGCCUAUCAGCUUGUUGGUGGGGUGAUGGCCACCAAGGCGACGACGGGUAGCCGGCCUGAGAGGGCGACCGGCCACACUGGGACUGAGACACGGCCCAGACUCCUACGGGAGGCAGCAGUGGGGAAUCUUGCGCAAUGGGCGAAAGCCUGACGCAGCGACGCCGCGUGAGGGAUGACGGCCU
This 388-nucleotide ribosomal RNA is filed under the name uncultured bacterium. RNAcentral's name for it is "bacterial SSU rRNA". It matches the Rfam family "Bacterial small subunit ribosomal RNA", at positions 28 to 417 of the family's 1533-position model. The record is from RNAcentral.